UUUUUUGGUCAACGAUUAGAUUAGGGUUUAUGGUAGAGGUUUUGUUCUUGAAGCUCUGGGCCACCAUGGGUAUCACUGUCACCGUCGAUUGUGGCCCUAACCUCAUCAUUGUUGUCACCAAGCGACCACACCAACUGCAAAUUCGGCGAGUUUACCACUGAUUCAUCCUCCUCCGUGCCCAGUGAGCGCAUCAGCGACAGCGAGUUCGCCACUGGUUCUUCUCAAACGUCCAGGCCGCUUGUCUUGUUCAUCCCAGUAGGUGGACGAACUAAAGAAAGGAAGUGGUUCACGAAGAGGAAAAUGUUCGUGUUCGUGGUUUGAGCCUUUGAGGUGAUGAACCAGCAGUGUCAAUUGAUGGCCACGGGACUGUUCCACAGAACAAUGAGACUGCAUUGCUCAUAGCAGCUGCAAACCAACCUGUAUCUGUAACCAUUGAUGCAAGGGGUCUUGAUUUCCAGUUAUAUUCUGAGGGAGUAUUUAUUGGAGUCUGUGGCUCUGACCUGGAUCAUGGAGUAACAGUUGUGGGCUAUGGAGAAACUGAAGAUGAAACAAAAUACUGGAUAGUGAAAAGUCAUAGGGAGCCGAAUGGGGAGAUGAAGGUUACAUUAGAAUGAAAAGGAAAAGGAAGGUCGGUGUGGCAUAGCGAAGGCUGCUUCAUAUCCAAUUAAGAGUUCACAAUCACUUAAAGAUGAACUUUACAUGCUUCCAUGAGAUCAUGCCUUGAUCAACCAUUGUUCUUGUUUUGUUUUCUUGUGUGUAAGGGAUUGCCUCGUAGCAACCUUUGUUCUAACAAAUUUGUAUAUCAUAACACUCGAUGACUAAAGUACUUAUCCAUCGAGAUUGUUAUGUUUGUGUUGUGUGUAACAUAGAUAGAAUAAAAGAAUAGAAGUCACUUAUUUGCUUCUUCUUGCA
Molecule: long non-coding RNA, 912 nt
Organism: Lotus japonicus
Lineage: Eukaryota; Viridiplantae; Streptophyta; Magnoliopsida; Fabales; Fabaceae
Exons: 3
Source: RefSeq, a predicted model, not a curated record